Molecule: ribosomal RNA, 750 nt
Filed under: Amanita sp. 'harveyi'
Lineage: Eukaryota; Fungi; Basidiomycota; Agaricomycetes; Agaricales; Amanitaceae
Description: partial large subunit ribosomal RNA
Source: RNAcentral
AGAUUCCCUUAGUAACUGCGAGUGAAGAGGGAAAAGCUCAAAUUUAAAAUCUGGCAGUGUUUCACUGUCCGAGUUGUAACCUARAGAAGUGUAACCUGUGCUGGACCGUGUAUAAGUCUCCUGGAAUGGAGCAUCAUAGAGGGUGAGAAUCCCGUCUUUGACAUGGACUACCAGUGCAUUGUGGUUGCGCUCUCAACGAGUCGAGUUGUUUGGGAAUGCAGCUCUAAAUGGGUGGUAAAUUCCAUCUAAAGCUAAAUAUUGGCGAGAGACCGAUAGCGAACAAGUACCGUGAGGGAAAGAUGAAAAGAACUUUGGAAAGAGAGUUAAACAGUAUGUGAAAUUGUUGAAAGGGAAACGUUUGAAGUCAGUCGCGUUGGUUGGGGAUCAGCCUGACAUUGUUGGGUGUACUUCCUGGUUGACGGGCCAACAUCAGUUUUGACUGCCAGAAAAAGGCCAAAGGAAUGUGGCACCUUUGGGUGUGUUAUAGCCCUUGGUCGUAUAUGGUGGUUGGGACUGAGGAAAGCAGCGUGCCGAAAGGCCGGGUUUCGACCACGUUCACGCUGAGGAUGUUGGCAUAAUGGCUUUAAGCGACCCGUCUUGAAACACGGACCAAGGAGUCUAACAUGCGUGCGAGUGUUUGGGUGGAAAACCCUUACGCGUAAUGAAAGUGAAAGUUGARAUCCCUGUCGCGGGGAGCAUCGACGCCCGGRAGCAGAACUUUUGGGACGGAUCUGCGGUAAAGCAUGUAUG